GGGGAUGUGGCUCAGUGGGUAGAGCGCUUGCUUCUCAUGCCCAAGGCCCUGGGUUCAAUCCCCAGCACCACGG
This 73-nucleotide transfer RNA is filed under the name Ictidomys tridecemlineatus (thirteen-lined ground squirrel). Its description in RNAcentral is "Spermophilus tridecemlineatus (thirteen-lined ground squirrel) tRNA". It matches the Rfam family "tRNA". Rfam says of the family: Transfer RNA (tRNA) molecules are approximately 80 nucleotides in length. Their secondary structure includes four short double-helical elements and three loops (D, anti-codon, and T loops). Lineage: Eukaryota; Metazoa; Chordata; Mammalia; Rodentia; Sciuridae. The record is from Rfam by way of RNAcentral.